RNAcentral lists this ribosomal RNA (692 nucleotides) under uncultured bacterium. RNAcentral describes it as "bacterial SSU rRNA". It matches the Rfam family "Bacterial small subunit ribosomal RNA", at positions 731 to 1424 of the family's 1533-position model. The record is from RNAcentral.
GGGAUAAUACUGACGUUCAUGCUCGAAAGCGUGGGUAGCAAACAGGAUUAGAUACCCUGGUAGUCCACGGCCUAAACGAUGCCAAUUAGCUGUUGGGGCACUUGAUGCCUUAGUAGCGAAGCUAACGCGUGAAAUUGACCGCCUGGGGAGUACGGUCGCAAGAUUAAAACUCAAAGGAAUUGACGGGGACCCGCACAAGCGGUGGAUGAUGUGGAUUAAUUCGAUGCAACGCGAAGAACCUUACCUGGUCUUGACAUGUACGGAAUCUUCCAGAGACGGAAGAGUGCCUUCGGGAGUCGUAACACAGGUGCUGCAUGGCUGUCGUCAGCUCGUGUCGUGAGAUGUUGGGUUAAGUCCCGCAACGAGCGCAACCCUUGUCAUUAGUUGCCACCAUUUAGUUGGGCACUCUAAUGAGACUGCCGGUGACAAACCGGAGGAAGGUGGGGAUGACGUCAAGUCCUCAUGGCCCUUAUGACCAGGGCUUCACACGUCAUACAAUGGUCGGUACAGAGGGUAGCCAAGCCGCGAGGUGGAGCCAAUCUCAGAAAACCGAUCGUAGUCCGGAUUGCACUCUGCAACUCGAGUGCAUGAAGUCGGGAUCGCUAGUAAUCGCAGGUCAGCAUACUGCGGUGAAUACGUUCCCGGGUCUUGUACACANCGCCCGUCACACCAUGGGAGUGGGGGAUACCAGA